UAGGGAAUCUUCCACAAUGGACGCAAGUCUGAUGGAGCAACGCCGCGUGAGUGAAGAAGGUUUUCGGACCGUAAAGCUCUGUUGUUGGUGAAGAAGGAUAGAGGUAGUAACUGGCCUUUAUUUGACGGUAAUCAACCAGAAAGUCACGGCUAACUACGUGCCAGCAGCCGCGGUAAAUCGUAGGUGGCAAGCGUUGUCCGGAUUUAUUGGGCGUAAAGCGAGCGCAGGCGGAAGAAUAAGUCUGAUGUGAAAGCCCUCGGCUUAACCGAGGAAUUGCAUCGGAAACUGUUUUCUUGAGUGCAGAAGAGGAGAGUAGAACUCCAUGUGUAGCGGUGGAAUGCGUAGAUAUAUGGAAGAAUACCAGUGGCGAAGGCGGCUCUCUGGUCUGCAAACUGACGCUGAGGCUCGAAAGCAUGGGUAGCGAACAGGAUUAGAUACCCUGGUAGUCCAUGCCGUAAACGAUGAGUGCUAAGUGUUGGGAGGCUUCCGCCUCUCAGUGCUGCAGCUAACGCAUUAAGCACUCCGCCUGGGGGAGUACGACCGCAAGGUUGAAAC
This 555-nucleotide ribosomal RNA is filed under the name uncultured bacterium. RNAcentral's name for it is "partial 16S ribosomal RNA". It matches the Rfam family "Bacterial small subunit ribosomal RNA", at positions 355 to 900 of the family's 1533-position model. The record is from RNAcentral.